UGGGGAAUAUUGGACAAUGGGCGGAAGCCUGAUCCAGCAACGCCGCGUGAGGGAUGACGGCCUUCGGGUUGUAAACCUCUUUCAGUACCGACGAAGCACCGGUGAAUGGUGGUGACGGUAGGUACAGAAGAAGCACCGGCCAACUACGUGCCAGCAGCCGCGGUAAUACGUAGGGUGCGAGCGUUGUCCGGAAUUAUUGGGCGUAAAGGGCUCGUAGGCGGUUUGUCGCGUCGGGAGUGAAAACACUGGGCUUAACUCAGUGCUUGCUUUCGAUACGGGCAGACUAGAGGCAUGCAGGGGAGAACGGAAUUCCUGGUGUAGCGGUGAAAUGCGCAGAUAUCAGGAGGAACACCGGUGGCGAAGGCGGUUCUCUGGGCAUGUCCUGACGCUGAGGAGCGAAAGUGUGGGGAGCGAACA
RNAcentral lists this ribosomal RNA (417 nucleotides) under uncultured Nocardioides sp. RNAcentral describes it as "bacterial SSU rRNA". It matches the Rfam family "Bacterial small subunit ribosomal RNA", at positions 355 to 774 of the family's 1533-position model. Lineage: Bacteria; Bacillati; Actinomycetota; Actinomycetes; Propionibacteriales; Nocardioidaceae. The record is from RNAcentral.